AUGAUAGAUCCCCUAUACUUGUGGGUCAUCAGGCAGCACGCCGGAGCCAGCCCGCUUCCUUCCUGGCAAGGACAAGGACGGCAAGGAAUCCACCGAGCCCAACCCUCUCCACCAAUCUGGGUCCGGUAGGACCAACAAGUGCUCGGGUACCUGCUCAAUAAUAUCUCAAAAGAGGUGUUGGUGCAGGUGACCGCGAUCACCACGAUGCACGCGCUCUGGACCACUUUGGCGGCCAUGUUCUCCUCGCAGUCGCUUAGCCGUGUCAACUACAUACACACGGCUUUGCUGCAUGCGCAGAAGGGAACUCAGCCGGUCGCCACCUUCUUCGCCCACAUGCGCGGCCUCGCUGAUGAACUCGCCGCGGCCGGCAAGCCGCUGCAAGACGACGAGAUCGUCUCCUACAUCAUCCACGCGCUGGACAUGGAGUACCAGCCUCUGGUGUCGGCCCUGGAUGCCCGCACCUCCCCCGUCACCCUAGAUGAGUUGUUCACCAUGCUAAGCAAUUUUGAUUAG
RNAcentral lists this ribosomal RNA (513 nucleotides) under Triticum aestivum (bread wheat). Its description in RNAcentral is "partial small subunit ribosomal RNA". Lineage: Eukaryota; Viridiplantae; Streptophyta; Magnoliopsida; Poales; Poaceae. The record is from RNAcentral.